GGAUGAGAAUAGGCGGAGUCUUUAACUGUACCGCCCGGUCCUGAAACCCCUGUGCACCCCUUCAGUACCAGGCAAGGGAACUUCACUUAACUGAGAUACCGCCCGUUUUCCCCUGCGUUUCUUAAAUUGCUAUGGUUGGACGCCUGCAGGUUAAAAGUGAGUUAGUCCCUGUGGAAAUCACCACUCACUCUCAACACCUCCUGGCUCAGCAGCUCCUUGCAUGAGGCUAGGCGCAUGGGAGUCUCAGCCUACUCUUGAUCAACAAAGUAGCUGAAUGCUCCCUCCUCUGGGGAUCUAGCGAGCUCUGCCUUCCCAUUGGCUCUGCGCCUCUCAGCCUCCCGGUUUGGAAGACCCUUCCCCUGGAACUAAGGAAAUCCCAGAGUCCCAGGGAGUGAUCAGCGGUGCUGUUUUCCUUAUCAUCCUCUUCUGCUUCAUCCCUUUCCCUUUCCUGAACUGCUUUGUGGAGGAGCAGUGUAAGGCAUUCCCCCACCAUGAAUUUGUGGCCCUGAUAGGUGCCCUCCUUGCUAUCUGCUGCAUGAUCUUCCUGGGUUUUGCUGAUGACGUACUCAAUCUGCGAUGGCGUCAUAAGCUGCUGCUCCCCACAGCUGCCUCACUACCUCUCCUCAUGGUCUACUUCACUAACUUUGGCAAUACAACCAUUGUGGUGCCGAAGCCCUUCCGCUGGAUUCUUGGCCUGCAUU
RNAcentral lists this long non-coding RNA (701 nucleotides) under Rattus norvegicus (Norway rat). Its description in RNAcentral is "long non-coding RNA NONRATT027619". Lineage: Eukaryota; Metazoa; Chordata; Mammalia; Rodentia; Muridae. The record is from RNAcentral.